GGGAUGUAGCUCAGUUGGGAGAGCGGCGGCUUUGCAAGCCGUAGGUCAGGGGUUCGAGACCCCUCAUCUCC
Molecule: transfer RNA, 71 nt
Filed under: marine eukaryotic metagenome
Rfam family: tRNA
About the family: Transfer RNA (tRNA) molecules are approximately 80 nucleotides in length.
Source: RNAcentral